AUUUGAGAAACGAGUAAAGGAGUUUGAGUUAAGAGAGAAAGAGUUUGAUUCUAUCCGAAAAGCAGUAGAAGAUCACAGUAAAAAUCUGUUGCUGCAAGCAAAAAUUGAGGACCCUGAAAAUUUGACAAGCAGCGGAAGAAAUCUACAGUCUCUACUGAAUCAGCAUUUGCAGAAGCAUGAUUUGAUUUUUUGUAAAGUUUUUGACACUAUUAAAAGAGCCUGUAACCCUGCAUUGUUGGUGUUAGAUGCCAUGUCAGGAUUUUACCCUCCCCAUUCAAGGGAGGGAGAUUUGGAGUUUGAUGUGAGCAUUAUUAGGAGGAGUUGUAUUCUUUUGUUGGAACAGUUAUCAACUGUAGCACCAGAGAUUAAUGCUCAAGUACGAGAUGAGGCUAUGAAGGUGGCAGGUGAGUGGAAGAAGAAGAUGAGAGUAGCAGUGGAGAAUUCUCUGGAGGUGCUGGGAUUCUUGCAUCUUUUAGCUGCCUAUAGAUUGGCACCUGCUUUUGAUGGUGAAGAACUUGAAAGUCUUCUUUGUAUUGUUGCUCAGCACAGACAGGCUCCUAAAUUACGCCAAACCCUUGGAUUUGGAGAUAAAGUACCUGGUAGGUUCUUUUUUACUGGGAUUUAAAUUUAUCAGGUGCUAUCUGUGCUCUCAAUCACAUAAUAAAACUGAUUUUAUUUGUUAUGAGAGUGCUGUUCGCAUUUUAUUGAAUGUAUUAUAUAUUACUAUAGUUGAUCUAGAUAUAAAUCAUUUGUAAGAACUUGUCGAUGCAAUUCAUUUUGCUGCUAUGCCUUCUAGUAAGUUUAUUCUGAUUCUGAAGUUUGUAAAUUCAUCAUAUUUUUUAAAGUCUUGACUAGGCUAUAGGCGUUUCUACAUUUUGAAUUAGAAAGGUUGGCAAUCAGAAAAAUUUUCUAGUCAACUAUGCACUUGAUUCUUUGUCCGCAGGUCUCCAGUGCAGCAUCACGGCAGAAGGAAGGAGUUCAUCGUCUAUGCUUGUUGGCACCUCUGCCCCCACGAAUCAGCCGAUCCCUGGCCCAAUGAAUCUACCACAGUACACUGGAAUGAAUCCCAGUAAUAGAACUUCCUCCCCGUAUCACAGUUUAGUGGAGUGCAACCACAGCUUGAGAAUCAAUAUAAACGUCUUCGGAGAGAAUCACCAGCCAUCAUAGCCUAUACGCCACAAACACCAGCUUCUGGUAACCUGAGUAGGAGUUCUCUGGCUACACUGUAUGGACCGGGUGUGGCUCUCAUUGGAGGGCAAACACAGUUUGGUCUUUUAGCAGGUAUUCACUCAACGGUUUUGCUGCCAAAUGUUGCAGGAAUGCAAAACCGUAUCAUUUUCAGCACAGGCACUUCUUGGUGAAGUGAUGGUUACUCUCUGUACAUUGUAGAUGCUAAUCUACAUAGGCUUAUAAAUAUAGAAAGCCUAGGAUUCGUAUCUUUCCAUCAAUGUGAGUCCAAUGUCACAUGGUUUCAGAGCUCAGUAAAAAUUAAAGUUUUAUCUUUUUUUAUUUCGUUUAGCAAACAUGGCCGAUGGCGAGUCAUUGGAUAACAAGCAGGAGAAUGAUCCUUUCCUGGUACAUCCAUCAGAUAGUCCAACUGAUUUUGUAUGUUAUGAGAGUGCAAUUUGCAUUUUAUUGGAUAUAUUAUAUAUUGCUAUAGUUGAUUUUGAUAUAAAUCGUUUGUAAGAACUUGUGGAUGCAAUUCCAUUUUGCUGCUAUGCCCUCUGGCAAGUUUAUCUGAUUCUGAAUUUUGUAAAUUCAGCAUAUUUUUUAAAAUCUUUUACUAGGCCACAGGCAUUUCUAUAUUUUGAAUUAGAAAGGUUGAGCAAUUAGAACAAUUUUCCCGUCAACUAUGCACUUGAUUCUUUGUCUGCAGGUCUCCAGCGCAGCAUCACAGCAGAAGGAAGGAGUUCACCGUCUAUGCUUGUUGGCACCUCUGCCCCCACGAAUCAGCCUGUCCGUAGCCCAGUGAAUCUACCACAGGGCACUGGAAUGAAUCCCAGAAAUAGUACUUCCUCCCCAGUAUCACAGUUUAGUGGAGCGCAACCACAGCUUGAGAAUCAAUAUAAACGUCUUCGGAGAGAAUCACCAACUAUCAUAGCCAAUACGCCACAAACACCAGCUUCUGAUAACCUGAAUAGGAGUUCUCUGGCUACACAGAACGGACCGGGUGUGGCUCACAUUGGAGGGCAAUCACAGUUUUGUCUUUUAGCAGGUAAUCACUCUAGAGUCAGCAAAUAUCACUACCAAGUGUUGCAGGAAUGCAAAACCUUGUCAUUUUCAGCAUGGGAACUUCUUGGUGAAGUAAUGGCUACUCUCUGUACAUAGUAGAUGCUAAUUAACAUAGGCUUGUAAAUGUAGUGAGCCUAGGAUUCUUGUCUUUCCAUCAACGUGAGUCCAAUUUCACAUGGUUUCAGAGCUCAGUAAAAAUUAAAGUUUUAUCUUUUUUUAUUUUGUUUAGCAAACAUGGCUGAUGGCAAAUCAUCGGAUAACAAGCAGGAGAAUGAUCCUUUCCUGGUACAUCCAUCAGAUAGUCCAACAAUUGUUUUGGUUUCUCCUCCACUCACUGGUAAUAAGUAUGGAACGUGGGUAAGAACGAUGAUAAUGGCUUUGCAAGUGAGGAACAAACUCGGUUUUGUUGAUGGGACCAUUACGAAACCGGAUGAUGAUGAUGGUGGUAAAUGGCAACGUUGCAACGAUCUGGUUUGUUCUUGGGUGUUGAACUCGAUCUCAAGCGAACUUGCAUGUAGUGUCUUGUAUGCACAGUCAGCAAGAGAGUUGUGGCUGGAUUUGCAGGAACGUUUUCAGCAGACUAACGCGUCAAAAAUUUAUGAACUCAGACAAGCUAUCUCCUCUUUACGACAAGGUGAUGUAUCUGUCCACCAUUAUUACCGUAGAAUGAAAAGGCUUCGGGAAAAAUUAAUUUCAUUGCAACCUGUAGAACCAUGUGUUAGUGGGAAUGCAAAAGUUGUCAAUGAAUUACAGCGACGAGACUUUGGAAUGGAAUUCCUUCAGGGUCUGCAUGACAGAUAUGCGGCAGUGAGAAGUCGUAUUUUUUUGAUGGAUCCUUUUCCUAAGGCACACAAGAUUUUCGCACUUGUAAAAGAAGAAGAAACACAACAAGAUCUUCAUGCAUUAGCAGGACCCUUGAAAGCAGGAGCUCUUGCUAUACAAAAUCGGUAGCCCCUGCAACACAAUUCCCUUGAAAAUUGAAAGGGUAGCGAUAUUUCACCUGAGAGCAGAGGUUCAAAUCUGAAUGGUAGUUCUGGGAAUAAUCAAAGUAGACAGACGUGUGAACAUUGUGGGAAAUUCGGGCAUACAAAAUUCAACUGUUUUGAUCUGAAUGGCUAUCCAACAAAUUGGAGGAAGCGCAGAUGAGGGAGUGAAGUGAAUCCUAAAACACCAGCCACUGUAGCCUGCAAAGAACAACAGGAUCUUAUUUUCACUCAACAGCAGUAUCAAAUUCUCCUAGCCACAUUGUACUUUGGCAGUUUACAAUUUGUGAGUCUUGCAGGUAUAGCCCUUUAUUAUUAUUAUUAUUAUAUUUAUUUCCACACUGAUGUUACUGACCAUAUAUGUUGUUAGUUAGAUUUCUUUGAUUCCUAUUAACUAUGUCAUGUACCUCUUCGUGUUCAAUUGCCUGUGCUACAGUUUCCCUGUCACUCAUAUGGGGUCUCUUUUUUGCAAGAUUUUCUACUAAAGAGAUUUUUUACAUUCUGAGUUUUAAAUUCAAUUUACUGUCAGUUAGCCAUUUAACCAAACCAAACAAAUAUCAAAUAAUCUUUUCUUCUGAUUCCUGUUAAUUUUAGGACCUGUACAUGAAGGUUGGCCAUGGUAGGCAUUGUGUUCCUGCAGCAUCCUCUUUUCAUUCCCAAAUAACCUCAACAUGAGAUUGAUCUUUGGCGUUGUUGCCGACUUGGGCACCCUUUUCUUGGACUUCUAAAAUUGUUUUCAGAGACUUAUCCUAUGGUUAAUUUGCGAUGCUUGUUGUAAAGCAAAACAAAUUAGAACGUCUAUUUUUCAUUGGCAGUAUUAAAACUCCUUUCGAAUUAGUCCGUUGUGAAGUUUAGGUUCCAUUUUCUAUCAUAUAAGUUCUUUAGUUGAAAUGUGUUAAAUGCUAAUUAACACAGGCUGCUUUACAAUGAUACAGCUUACCCUUAAAAAUAGCUGACUUAUUUGUGCCAAAAAAAAGGGGGAAAUGAUGUCUCGUCUCUGUAGGGAAAUUCAUGAAAAUUAAUUUGUAUUCAUGCAAUUGUGUUACCUCAAUGACCUUUCUUGCAAUAGAUGAUGCAUCAUGCAGUACUAAGUGAUAGAUUACGGUUGAAGUAUUUUUGUGUGUUCUUUUACGUAUGGUAAAUAUAUUUAACUUGUGAAAUUACUUAUUUAACUAUGAUCCCGGAUAGAAUUUUUCAGUGAUUUAUUUUUUGCAAUAUGAUACAGCUCUGUUUUACAACAUAAUCCAACAUGUCAUGAAUAUAUUUGUUAUCAAAUUAGUUAUUAAAUACGGUAAACAAACAAAUAAAUAAUCUACUAAAGUAGUAAUACUACAAAUCCAAAAACAUUAAUCAUAAAAUGAAUUUCAAAUGAAUUGCAUUAGAUUUGUGGUUGAAAAAUCAAUUUGAGAUUUUACCCACCUCAUAUCUCUUAAAAUAAAAUAAAUAAAACAAUACAAUAAAUUAUUUUGAAAACUGUUAAUCUAAUUGCAUCAACUCACGGCUCACAUGUGAAAGUUAUUUAAAAGAGUACUGAACUUUGUAAAAGAGAAUAAAAAAUUAAUUAAAAUGCAAAGGGUUUGUCUUUUUCAUUAAAUAAUUUUCUGUCCUCUGUACUUUUUUUGCAUAUUUUUCAUUUGGUGAACUUAGCAAAUUCAAUUGGAAAAAAAAAAAAUGUAGCAUUUCAUUUUAUGGGGAAUGGUGAUACUUGCGGGGGAAGAAGCAGAAAAUGAACUUUCCUUUCCAUUUCCUUCUGACAUAUAAUACGUUUGCCAUUUUUCAACUAGAGACUUAUUUCUUUGCAUCCACAUCAAGCCAGCUGCUUUGAACUUUGAGGUGAACAUUGACAGUUCCGGUAGGUUCUUUCUGCAACUGCUCAUUUUAGUUCAUUUUGCAUGUGCUCUAUACUUAAAACUUUAUUUUCAACUGGGUUUGUUUUAGUUUCUAAAAUGGAGAAUUGCACUGUUAAUAUUUCUGAGGAGCUGAGAGCUGCUGAGUCAAAGAAACAAGCUUUACGGAGAUCCUUUGAUAUUGCUCAUGAACAAGCUAGUUCAGUUCAUAAGUUUACUGUUAAAUGGAGAGAUUUAGAGGAACAUUUUGAUUUAAUUAGGAAAUCACUUGAAAAGCAAAGUAAUGAUGUUGAUAUGAAGAUUAGGUUGUUAGAUCAGCGCGCUAAGGAGGUUUAAAGUAAAGAGAUUGAGAGUGCGUUUGGUAUUAAGGUUGGACAACUAUAACUUAAAAGUUGCAACAGUAAAGUGUUUGGUAAACACUAGCUGUUGUAGCUUAAAAGUUACGUUGAUAUGAUUUUUCACUUGUAUAAUGAAGAAUCUAUUAUAUCUUUAAUAAUUUUGUCAAAAUUAUUAUUUAAAAUUUAUAUUUACUACAUAUAAUUAACUUUUAUUUCAUAGUUAUGGUUUUUUUUCUACAGCAGCUGUAACUUAAAAGCUACAGCACCUCAAUUCCAAACGCACCCUGGGUUAGUUUUGGUGGAGAAAAAGAUCGAAGAUUGUAACGGUGAGCUUUCAUGUAAGGAAAAGAAUUGGGUUUGGUUCAAAAGAUGGUGGGAGAAUGUGAUUGUGAGCUUCAUCAGUUGAAAGAGAGUGAACUGAAUUUGUUGUCAGUGAGUCUUGUUUUGAAGAGGGAAGAACUGAGUUUGGUUCAAAAGUCGAUUAAUAAAUGUCAGGUUGAUCAGAAAUAGUUGGAAUUGUUGAAGAAUUUGUUGAAAAAAUGUUAGUGAGGAAAUUGAGUUGAAGGCAAUGAAACUGGGGGAAGUCCAAAGAUCGGUUGAGGAAUGUGAGAAACAGCUGGCAUUGAAGGAGAACAAAAUUUCUUCAAUUCAGUCAAUGAUCGAAGAAUAUGAAGAAGAAAUUAAAGCUAAGGAGAAGUCGUGUGAUGAGGUUAAAAUGUCUCUCACACUUGAGUUUUGUCUCACACAGUGUGUGAGACAAAACUCAAGUGUGAGAAGAAAGAAUUGGAGUGGACUCAAUCAUCUAUCAAGGAGCUCUCGGUGAAGUUUGAUUCAGAAGAGGAGAAGCUACAGUCAUUCCAGAGGAGGGUCAGAGAGCGGGUAAAUGAAGUUGAAUCUAAAGAGAGGGAGCUUGAUUCAAUGAAAAGGCAACAGAAGAAAUAUUUUGAUGAUAUUGGAAUGAAGGAGAUGGAGUACAAAGGACUAAGAAAAUAUGUUGAAGAUCUCAGUCAAGAACUCGCAUCAAAGGACAAGCAGUUGAAAUUUUUCAAAAAAUAAUGCAGCAAGGAGUUCUAGGUGAAAAAGGAGUUAAGUUCAAUAAAAAAUGAAAUUGCGGAAUACUCGAAUGAGGUUGAAUUAAAGAGGAAUGAACUUAAUUUGAUACAGCAUGCGGCCAACAAGCUGCAAUUUGAUUUGAUUCAGACAAUGGACAUUGGUUACCUCGGAGAGCUCAAAGAGAAGGAGAAGCUUUGUGAUUCACUCAAAAAAGGUUUAGAAGACUGCUUUCAAGAUCUUGAAGUAAAAGAGAGACAGUUUGAGAAAUGUGUUAAGGAUUUUGAAAUAAGAGAGAGAGUUUGAUUCCAUCCGAAAAGCAGUCUAAAAUCGAGGUAAAAUCUGGAGUUGCAAGUCAAAACUGAGGAACCUGAAAAUAUGACAUGGGAAGGAAGAAAUCUGCAGCUGCUAUUAAAUGAGCAUUUGCAGAAGCAUGAUCUGAGUUUUGGUAAAAUUUUCAACACAAUUAAAAGAGCACGUGACCCUGCAUCUUUGGUUUUAGGUGCAAUGUCAGGAUUUUACCCUCCUCAUUCAAGGGAGAGAGAUGUAGAGUUUCAAGUGGGCAUUAUUAGGAGUAGUUGUAUUCUUCUGUUGGAACAGCUGUCAACUGUAGCACCAGAGAUUAAUGCUCAAGUUCGAGAUGAGGCUUUGAAGGUGGCAGGUGAUUGGAAGAAGAAGAUGAGAGUAGGAGUGAGAAUUCUUUGGAGGUGCUGGUAUUCUUGCAUUUUUUUAGCUGCCUAUAGAUUGGCACCUGCUUUUGAUGGUAGUGAACUUGAAAGUCUUACUUCUUAUUGUUGCUCAGCCUAGAAAGACUCCUAAAUUAUGCCAAAGCCUUGGAUUUGCGGAUAAAGUAACUGGUAAGUUCUUUGUUAUUGGGUAUUUAAAUUUAUCAGGUGAUAUUUGUGCUCUCAGUUAUAUGAUAAAAUUGAUUUUUUUUGAGAGAUUCCUCUUCGCAUUUUGUUGGAUGUGUAAUAUCAUACUAUAGUUGAUGCAACUCUAUUUAGCUGCCAUGCCCUCCAGUACGUAUCCAUCUGAUUUCGAAGUUCAUACGUUCUGCAUUUUUCCUGAAAUCUUUCCUAGGCAUUUAUGUAUUUUGAUUUAAAAAGGUUGAGCAAUCAGAACAAUUUUCUAGUCCCACUAUGCGCAUGAUUCUUUGUCUGCAGGUCCCCAGCGCAGCACCGUGGUAGAGGGAAGUUCUUCACUGCCAAUGCUUGUUGGCAUCUCUGCCCACACUUAUCAGCCAGUCCCUAGCCCCAAGAAUCAACCUCAGUAUAGUGGAACAGAUCACAGUACUAGUACUUUUUACCCCCGAGUGCUACUAAAGCUCGAGAAUCAUGACAAUAAGCAUCCUCGGAGAGAAUCACCGACUUUCAGAGCCCUUACGUCACUAACACCAGCUUCUGUGGCUCGUAGUGGGGGGAAACACAGUUUGGUCCUUUAGCAGGUAAUCACUCAAGGGCCACAGCAAAUAUGGGUGCCGGCCCAAUCAAAUGUUGCUGUAAAGCAAAACCUUUACCAUUUUCCGCACAACACUUCUAGGUGAGGUUGUGAUUACUUUGCAGACAAGGAUUAAGUGCUGAGUUGAGUUUUUAUUGAAUACUAAAUCAAUAAUCGAUAGAUAAUGAUAUAAGAAAAUAAAAGCACAAAAUAAAUUAUUAUCAUUGAUUCAAUACUCAAUAAAAAUUAUAAACCCUAAUCCUUUCAUAAAUAGUGGUGUUAAAUGCUAACUAAUAUAUGCAUGCUAGUUUACGUUGUGUAUAUUUGAUUUCACUCCUCUUUUAUGAUAGCUUGUGAAAUUACAUAUUUAAUCAUCCUACUUCUACUCAUUUCUUUUUAUUUUAAAAAAAUAAAAUUCACUUAUUCAUAGAAGCCCUUACCAUACAUGACUAAGGCACGAGCCACUUUGUUGGUCUCUUUCAAGAAAUUAGUUUUUAUUACUUUAUUAACUUACAAUUUUUCUUUUUGACCCCCAAGCACUAAUUUCGUUAGCGGCUACCGCUCCUCUUAGAUCAAAUUCACAAUUCACAUCCUUGAUUCUUUGAAAAGAAAAAUUGUGAUCAUGAUAAAAUAAAUGAUAUAAAUGAAUUUUCGCUUGUGAUUUUUUAAGUGUUGGGCUUGGGGACUCGGGCUUUUGGUGUAUUCUUCUGAUGCGGCUACAUAAUAAGAAAAGUAAAAAUAUUAAUGUAACAUAUCGUUUUUGUUUUUAAAUUUAUUUCGAAAUUAGCUUGGGAAGUAAAAUCAUUUGUGAGCUUUGUGAUUUGCCAUGUGUCCCAAAGCUUGGCGAUAUGUGAUUGGCUGCGUAAUUGAGAGUUAUCAUCAUCAGCCUCCCUAUACUUUUAUACUCUAUACGGACUGCCUAAUUUCUUGAAUUGAUCAUUCACGACCAUGAGCCCUUUUUACAAACUUUAAUUGAAAUCCGUCACCUUAUAAAACAGUAAUGGUAGAUGAAUAAAAUCAUGAAAUAAUGAUGCGAGAUAUAUGGUGAUUGGUUCAAGUUCUCAGAGAGAUUCUCAUUUUUCUGACAGAUUUUUAUUUUUUUAAUUAAUUUUUUUUAUAUAAGUUAGACAUAUCUUGCUGACUUGCUUGUAGAUGGGGGUAUAUAUUCCUCAAAUAUUUGCGCUAUAAUAGAAUUAAUAUAGGCAGAUAGUACUCAUUUGAUUGUACAGUACGUAUUAUUAAUUUAAAAGAGAAUAACAACAUUUUUCGCCUUAUAGUCAAUUUUGAGCAACUUUUAAAAAAAAUAUAAAAUUGAUUUAAAAUUUUAUAAAAAGACAAAUAUUUGUAUCAUCUUUUUGUCACGCAUUUAUUUCUUAAUAUUUUUCAUAAAUUAAUAGGAAAAUAAGUCUCAUUAAGUAUUUUAAUCUCUAAAAUUCAUUUAGUAUAGCGGAUAAAUAAUUAUCUAACUAAAGAGUAACAGGUAAUCUUCAGAUUGCGAGUAAAUGUAGUUUUUUUUUUUUAUUAAUUAAUAAAAAAUAGCAUUGAAAUAAGUGUAAUUGAUUAUUCUAAUAGUACUUUAUAUAAAGAUAUUUCAUAAGAUCUUAUAAUAAUUAAUGUAUGACUUUAAUUGGAAAACUAUUAGUACUUAAAUAUUAAUGAUCAUAGAAGGCAUUGUGUAAUAAAUUAUUUGCUAUUUAUCGUUAAUGAUACCAUAUAUGUCGACGAUAAAUGAGAAAUAUUUUAAUCAACAACUAUGAUUGAAAAAUAUAUAUGUGAAUAUAAUUAGAUGAUAGUUUGGAUAUAUAUUUUUAGGCUAAAACUAUUUUAACUAAAAUUUUUUACUCAAAUUUUUAAUACAAAAAUUAAAUUGUUGAUUUCAUAUAAUUCAAUGGUUGAUAAUUUAACAUCAUAAUGUUGCUUUAACUUGGGAAAUUAUCAUUGCACCACCUCCAUUUUUGGCUUAUGUUCAUCCAACCACCACAAAAUUCUAAUAUGUUCAUUGCACCACCUUUCUUUUUUAAUUUGUAUCAAUUAACCACUUUUACACUAACACCAUUAAAUAAUUUAAAUGAAAUGAUAAUUUUACCCCUAAAUAAAUUAAAAGACAAUUUUAUCUUAUAAAAGCUUUGAAAAAUAAAAAAAAUUAUAAUUAUAAAAAUAUUCCAAAAUUUAAUAAAAAAUAAAUCCCAAAAUUAAAAUUUUUAUUUUAAUAAAAAUUAUUUUAAUAAAAAAUAUAAUUAUAAAAAUAAUUGUAAAAUUUUUGGAUUUAAUAAAAAUCCCCUAAAUUAUUAAAAUUUUGGGAUUUAUUUUAAUAAAAUUUUGUGAAACUAUAAUUUUUAAUAAAUAAAGUCAGUUAUUUUUUUUAACAUUUUGUAAAAUUAUAAUUUUUAAUAAAAAUACUUAUUAAAAUUUUACAAAAUCUAAAUUUAAUAAAAAUGAGCUGAGUAUCUCUAUUUGGGAUUUAUUUUUAAUUAAAAUUAGGGGUAUUUUUAUAAUUAUAUUUUUUUUUAUUUUUCAAAACUUUUAUAAGAUAAAUGGUCUUUUAAUUUAUUUAGAGAUAAAAUUGUCAUUUCUUUUAAAUUAUUUAAAGGUAUUAGUACAAAAGUAGAUAAUUGAUAUAAAUUUAAAAAGAAAAGUGGUGCAGAGAACAUGUUAGAAUUUUAUGGUGGCUGGAUGAACAUAAGGCAAAAUGGAGGUGGUGCAAUGAUAAUUUCCCAUUUAACUUUCAAUAUGAAAUAUUAGAUUUUGAGAGAUUGAUGGCACUUUGGUGUCAAAAUUUUAAGUUUCAAUAGUCCAAACUAUAUUUUAUAAUAUAAAAAAAAUGAACGGAGAAAUUUUUUUCUCAUUCAUUCCUAUAUCAUAUAUUAUUGGAUGUAAUUUCUUUUAGGGUUGAGCUAUUUGUAUUCUAAAAUAUAUUUUGGACACUCAUUUAGAAUACUCAUUAACAAAAUUUAAAUAAUCAAAUUUUACUUUGAACACUCUUUCAAAUUCCAAAUUAGGCCUUCAACAACAAACUCAUUCCAUUGAGUACUUUUUCUCUUUACACCAACAAAUAUAAUCCAAUGAACCUAUAUAUAACGUGUUUGUUCCUUUCUUUUUUCUAUUAUCGAUUUAUUCCCUAUUAAUUCUUGCUUAAUUUAUGAUGUUCUUAUCUUCAUAUGUGUGGAUAACUGAAACACUAGGAUUACUUUGUUUGCCAUAUUCAUGAAUGAGAGAAGAUCAACAAGAAAAACUGAAAUUCAGAAACCAAAUUUUGAUUGUGGCAAUUUAUUGCUCCUUGUGAUUUCUUAUGGUCUUCAAGCCAAAUCUUUUUCUCUUCCCCUCUCUCUUUUCUUCUUCUUCUUCUUUGCUUUUUUUUUUUUUUCUUUUUCUAAGUAAUAUAUGCUUUCUCUUUGUUUUAAGAGAUACGAGGGUGUAAAAAUUAUAAAUAUUAUAUCAAACAUUAUCAGUCACCCACCAAAAAGUUGUCUUGUUGUAAAAAAUAUUAAAAUAAAAAUUUUCUUAGAGGUUUAUUAAUGCAAUUUAUGGCAUUUAUUUAAAUGUAAAUAUUUAAUUGUGUUAUUUUUUAGUGUUACACCAUAUAUAAAAUUUAUGAUUGCAAUAUAUUUAUUUGACUUGUGUUGGAUGGUAUAUUAGAUAUCGUAUCUUAUGUACUUAAAAGUAAUAGAUUUUGAAACAUUUAUGCCAAAAAAAAAAAAAUUAACAACAUUGCAAAUUAAAAGGAGGGUUGAGAAGUAAUUUUUAAAUAAAACAUAUUAAUCAAGUGAAAUAAUUUUAAACUAUAAGAGUGGCUGUAUUUAUUUUACUGCUGUUAUUUUACAAAAACUAUCCACCUCCUUAAACAGUCAAGAAACGGUUUAAAAUAAAAUUGAAUAAUUUAUUUACAUAAUAUGAAAAAUAAAAAGAGUGAGAAAAAAAUUAAUGCAACAUAUCAUUUUGUUUUUAAAUUUAUUUUGAAAUUAGCUUGGGAAGUAAAAUCAAAUUUGAGCUUUGUGAUUAUGCCAUGUGUCCCAAGGAUCGGCAAUAGGUGAUUGGUGUGAAACUGAGAGCCGUCCUCAUUUAAAUGAUAUGUAUUUAGCCCUUUUAUACUUUGUAUCAUAUACAGACUUCUUAAUUUCUUUUAAUUGUCAUUCUAAUUUGAUCAUUCACGACCGUGAGCCCUUUUUACAAAUUCUAAUUGAAAUCCGUCACCUUAUAAAAGAGUGACAGUGGAUGAAUAAAAUCUGAACAAAUAAUGAUGUGAGAGUCGUGGUUCGAGUUCUUAGAGAGAUUCUUAUGUUUUUAAUUUAAAAAUUAGAUAAAAGUAAACAUUAUAAAAGUAGAUAUUUUUCAUUGAUUUGUUUGUAGAUAGCAUUAGAUAUUAAUAGAAUUAAUAAGAAAAAGAUUUGUGCUAUAAUAGAAUUAAUUUAGGUAGACAAUUGAUAUUUGAUUGUAUAAUACAUAUCAUUAAUUUAAAAAUGAAUGAUAACAACUUUGUCUUAGAGUUAAUUUUGAGGAAUUUCUUUAAAAAAAAUAUAAUUAAUUCAAAAAUUACAAAAAGACGUAUAUAUUUAUCUUUUUAUCAAAUUUUAUUUCUUUAUUUUUUUUUAUAAAUUAAUAGGAAAACAUGGUGCAUUAAAUAAUAAUAAUAGAACUAUGAAGUUGUAUGAAAUUUCACAUCAAUAUUGGGAUUGUUACGGACCCUUGGAUUUAAGUGUUUAAUAAGUAGUAUUCAUUUAAUAGGUGAAUAAAUAGUUAAUAAAUUUAAAAGUAGCAGGUAAUAUUUAGGUCCCGUGUAAAUAUAGGUUUUUAUAUUUAUUAGUUAAUAAAAAUGCAGUAAAAUAAAUAAAAUUAAUUAUUUUAAUAAUACUUUAUAUAAAGAUAUUCGAUAAGGUCUUAUAAUAAUUAAUGUAUGCCUUUAAUUGCAAUAUUAUGAAUAAUUAAACAUUAAUGAUCAUAGAAGGUAUUGUGUAAUAAAUUAUUUGCUAAAUAUGUUUAAUGAUACCAUAUAAGUUGAUUACAAAUGAAAAAUAUUUUAAUCAACAGUGUAACUAUGAUUGGAAAAUAAAUAUGCGUAGGUAAUUACAUGAUAGCUUGAAUAUAUAAUUUUAGGCUAAAGCUAUUUUAACUUAAAUUUUUUACUCAAAUUUUUAACACAAAAAUUAAACUAUUAAUUUCAUGUAAUUUAAUGGCGGAUAAUUUAAUAUUAUAAUAUUAUUUUAACUUUUAAUAUUAACUAUUAGAUUUUGAGAGAUUAAUGGGGUUCUUUUGUGUCAAAAUUUUAAUUUUUUUAACCCAAACCAUAUUUUAUUAUGAAAAUAAACAUGAACGGGGGAUCUUUUUUUCUCAUUCAUUCCCAUAUCAUAUACUAUUGGAUGUAAAUUAUUUUUUUUAGGGUUGUGCUAUUUAUUUUCUAAAAUAUAUUUUAGACACUUAUUUACUUUUAAUACUCAUUAACAAAAUCUAAACAAUCAAAUUUUACUUUGAACUCUUUCAAAUUGCAAAUUAGUCCUUCAACAGAGUUACUCCCUCAAUUACUUUGUUUCUUCCUACACCAACAAAAAUAAUCCAACAAACCUAUAUAUAAUGUGUUUGUUCUUUUCUUGUUCUAUUAUUGGUUUCUUCCUUAUUAGUUCUUGUUAAUUUUUCUUGUUCUUAUAUGUGUGGGCAACUGCAAUGUUAGAAUUAUUUUUAUUUGCCAUAUCCAUAAAUGAGAAAAGAUCAACAAGAAAAAUUGAAAUUUAGACAUCAAAUUUUGAUUGGUGCAAUUUAUUGCUCUUUGUGAUUUUUAUGGCCUUCAACUAGAUCUUUUUCUCUUCCUCUCUCUUUUCUUCUUCUUCUUGGCUUUUUUUUUUCAGUAAUAGUAUGCUUUUUGUUUAUUUUAAGACAUAAGAUAACAAUUGUAAAAAUUGUAAAUAUUAUAUGGGAAAUCGUCAGUCACAUGCCAAAAUUUAUCUUGUUAUCAAAAAUACUAAAAUAAAAUCUUACUUAGAAAUUUAUUGAUGCAAUUUAUGAAAUUCAUUUAAAUGCAUAUAUUUAAUUGUGUUGUUUAUUGGUGUUACACUACAUAUAAAUUUUACAAUUGCAACUUAUUUAUUUAAUUUGGGUUGGAUAACCUAUUAGAUAUCAUAUCUUAUGUACUUAACAGUAAUAGAUCUUUAAAUAUUUAUGUUAAAAAAUAAAAAAUAACAACAUUAUAAAUUUAAUAAAGGGUUACAAAGUAAUUUUUAAAUAAAAUAUGCUAUUCAAGUGAAAUAUUUCAAACUAUAAGAGUAGUUAUAAUUAAUUUACAAAAAAAAAGGGGCCUCAGUUAAGAAACGGUUUAAAAUAAAAUUGAAUAAUUUAUUUUUUUAAUAUAAAUAUUUUGUAUCAUUAAUCAUUUGCCAUGGUUAAAGCACUGACAUAAUAAUACGGCAAUUUUUCAACGGCCUUUCUUUGAGUCCACAUAAGAGAUAAUAAUACCAGCUGAUCGGAAGUGAACAUGGCCGGUUCCGGUUAGUUCUUCUGCAACCGCUUUAUUUUAGUUCAUUUUGCAAACGUUUUUCACUCGCACUUUAUACUUUCAACUGGGUUUUUUUUUUAAUUUCCAAAAUGGAGAACUGUACUGUUAAUAUUUCUGAGGAGUUGAGAGUUGCUGAGUCCAAAAAGGAAACUUUACGAAGAUCAUUUGAUAUUGCACAUUCACAAGCCAAUUCAGUGCUUUUGCUUACUGUUCAAUGGAAAGAUUUAGAGGAACAUUUUGAUAUAACUAAGAAAUUACUUGAAAAGCAAAGUAAUGAUGUUGAUGGGAAGAUUAGGUUGCUAGAUCAACGCGCUAAGGAGAUUGAAAGUAAAGAGAUUCAGUUAGUUUUGGUGCAGAAAAAGAUCGAAGAUUGUAAUGGUGAGCUUGUGUGUAAGGAAAAACAAUUGGGUUUGGUUAAAAAGAAGAUCGGAGAAUGUAAUUGUAAGCUUCAAUUGAAGAAGAAUGAACUGAAUUCGCUGUCGGAGAGUCUUAAUUUAAAGAAGGAAGAACUGAGCUCGGUUCAAGAGUGGAUUAAUAAAUGUCAGGCACAUCAGAAGGAGUUGCGAUUGCUGAGGAAUAUGAUUGAAGAAUGUUGUGAUGAAAUUGAGUUGAGAGAGAAGAAAGUGGGGGAAGUUCAAAGAUCAAUUGAGGAGCGUGAGAAACAGCUUGCAUUUAAGGAGAGCAAAAUUUCUUCAAUUCAGACUUUGAUUGAAGAAUAUGAAGAAGUACUUAAAGAAAAGGAGAAGUCGUAUGACGAGGUUAAAAAGUCUCUCAUACUGUGUGAGACCAAACUCGAAUGUAAAAAGAAAGAGUUGGAGCUGACUCAAUCAUCUAUUAAAGAGCUCUCGGUGAAGCUUCAUUCUGGAGAGGGGAAAUUAGAGUUACUCCAGGGGAAAGUCAGACUGCAUGAAAAUGAAGUUGAAUCUUUAGAGCAGAAGCUUGAUUCAAUGAGAAAGCAACAAAAGAAAUAUUUUGAUGAUGUUGAAUUGAAAAAGAGGGAGUUCAAUGAAAUAAGAAAAUACAUUGAAGAACUCAAUCAAGAUCUCGCAUCAAAGCAUAGGCAGUUAAAAUUUGUCCAACAAUCUAUUGAAGAAUGCAGCAAGGAGUUCCAGUGGAAAAAGGAGGAGUUAAUUUCAAUAGAAAAAACAAUUGCGGAAUGCUCAAAGGAGGUUGAAUUGAUAAAGAAUCAACUUAAUUUGAUACACAACGAGUCAAAUUUGGUUCAGACAAGGACAAUUGUGUGCCUGAAAGAACUCAAAGAUAAGGAGAAGCAUUUUGAUUCACUCAACAAAGGUUUAGAAGAUCGCUUGCAAGAUCUUGAAGUAAAAGAGAGGGAAUUUGAGAAACGAGUAAAGGAGUUUGAGUUAAGAGAGAAAGAGUUUGAUUCUAUCCAAAAAGCAGUAGAAGAUCGCAGUAAAAAUCUGUUGCUGCAAGUAAAAAUUGAGGAACCUGAAAAUUUGACAAGCAGAGGAAGAUAUCUGCAGUGUCUACUGAAUCAGCAUUUGCAGAAGCAUGAUUUGAUUUUUUGUAAAGUUUUCGACACUGUUAAAAGAGCCCGUGACCCUGCAUUGUUGGUGUUACAUGCCAUGUCGGGAUUUUACCCUCCUCAUUCAAGGGAGAGAGAUUUGGAGUUUGAUGUGAGCAUUAUUAGGAGGAGUUGUAUUCUUUUGUUGGAACAGUUAUCAACUAUAGCACCAGAGAUUAAUGCUCAAGUACGAGAUGAGGCUAUGAAGGUGGCAGGUGAGUGGAAGAAGAAGAUGAGAGUAGCAGUGGAGAAUUCUCUGGAGGUGCUGGGAUUCUUGCAUCUUUUAGCUGCCUAUAGAUUGGCACAUGCUUUUGAUGGUGAGGAACUUGAAAGUCUUCUUCGUAUUGUUGCUCAGCACAGACAGACUCCUAAAUUACGCCAAACCCUUGGAUUUGGAGAUAAAGUACCUGGUAGGCUCUUUGUUACUGGGAUUUAAAUUUAUCAGGUGCUAUCUGUGCUCUCAAUCACAUAAUAAAACUGAUUUUAUAUGUUAUGAGAGUGCUAUUCGCAUUUUAUUGAAUGUAUUCUAUAUUACUGUAGUUGAUCUAGAUACAAAUCGUUUGUAAGAACUUGUGGAUGCAAUUCCAUUUUGCUGCUAUGCCCUCUAGUAGGUUUAUUCUGAUUCUGAAGUUUGUAAAUUCAGCAUAUUUUUUAAAGUCUUUACUAGGCUAUAGGUGUUUCUACAUUUUGAAUUAGAAAGGUUGAGCAAUCAGAACAAUUUUCUAGUUAACUAUGCACUUGAUUCUUU
This 16641-nucleotide long non-coding RNA is filed under the name Citrus maxima (pomelo). Its description in RNAcentral is "long non-coding RNA (CMAX_LNC001532)". Lineage: Eukaryota; Viridiplantae; Streptophyta; Magnoliopsida; Sapindales; Rutaceae. The record is from RNAcentral.